GAUGAACGCUGGCGGCGUGCCUAAUACAUGCAAGUCGAGCGAACAGACGAGGAGCUUGCUCCUCUGACGUUAGCGGCGGACGGGUGAGUAACACGUGGAUAACCUACCUAUAAGACUUGGAUAACUUCGGGAAACCGGAGAUACUACCGGAUAAUAUAUUGAACCGCAUGGUUCAAUAGUGAAUGACGGUUUUGCUGUCACUUAUAGAUGGAUCCGCGCCGCAUUAGCUAGUUGGUAAGGUAACGGCUUACCAAGGCAACGAUGCGUAGCCGACCUGAGAGGGUGAUCGGCCACACUGGAACUGAGACACGGUCCAGACUCCUACGGGAGGCAGCAGUAGGGAAUCUUCCGCAAUGGGCGAAAGCCUGACGGAGCAACGCCGCGUGAGUGAUGAAGGUCUUCGGAUCGUAAAACUCUGUUAUUAGGGAAGAACAAAUGUGUAAGUAACUAUGCACGUCUUGACGGUACCUAAUCAGAAAGCCACGGCUAACUACGUG
Molecule: ribosomal RNA, 497 nt
Filed under: uncultured bacterium
Lineage: Bacteria
Description: partial 16S ribosomal RNA
Rfam family: Bacterial small subunit ribosomal RNA
Source: RNAcentral